Molecule: ribosomal RNA, 497 nt
Filed under: uncultured bacterium
Lineage: Bacteria
Description: partial 16S ribosomal RNA
Rfam family: Bacterial small subunit ribosomal RNA
Source: RNAcentral
GAUGAACGCUGGCGGCGUGCCUAAUACAUGCAAGUCGAGCGAACGGACGAGAAGCUUGCUUCUCUGAUGUUAGCGGCGGACGGGUGAGUAACACGUGGAUAACCUACCUAUAAGACUGGGAUAACUUCGGGAAGCCGGAGCUAAUACCGGAUGAUAUUUUGAACCGCAUGGUUCAAAAGUGAAAGACGGUCUUGCUGUCACUUAUAGAUGGAUCCGCGCUGCAUUAGCUAGUUGGUAAGGUAACGGCUUACCAAGGCAACGAUGCAUAGCCGACCUGAGAGGGUGAUCGGCCACACUGGAACUGAGACACGGUCCAGACUCCUACGGGAGGCAGCAGUAGGGAAUCUUCCGCAAUGGGCGAAAGCCUGACGGAGCAACGCCGCGUGAGUGAUGAAGGUCUUCGGAUCGUAAAACUCUGUUAUUAGGGAAGAACAUAUGUGUAAGUAACUGUGCACAUCUUGGCGGUACCUAAUCAGAAAGCCACGGCUAACUACGUG